Jaculus jaculus (lesser Egyptian jerboa) is the source of this 107-nucleotide small nuclear RNA. Lineage: Eukaryota; Metazoa; Chordata; Mammalia; Rodentia; Dipodidae. The record is from Ensembl.
GUAUUUGCUUUGACAACACAUAUACUAAAAUUGGAACAACACAGAGAAGAUCAGCAAGGCCCCUCUACAAGGAUGAGAUGCAAAUUUAUGAAGUUUUGCAUAUUUUG